GUAGGGAAUAUUGGGCAAUGGAUGCAAGUCUGACCCAGCCAUCCCGCGUGCCGGAAGAAGGCCCUCAGGGUUGUAAACGGCUUUUGACGGUGAAGAAUCGACAGGAUGCGUCCUGUUUUGACGGUAGCCGUUGAAUAAGCACCGGCUAACUCCGUGCCAGCAGCCGCGGUAAUAUGGAGGGUGCGAGCGUUGUCCGGAUUUAUUGGGUUUAAAGGGUGCGUAGGCUGGAAGGUCAGUCAGCGGUGAAAAGCUGUCGGUUAACGAUAGUCUUGCCGCAGAAACUUCCGUUAUUGGAUGAGGAGGAGGCCACUGGAACGGAUGGUGUAGCGGUGAAAUGCAUAGAUAACGUCCAGAAAACCGAUUGCGAAGGCAGGUGGCUGUACCUUAAUCGACGCUGAUGCACGGAAACAUGGGGAGCAAACAGGAUUAGAAACCCCAGUAGUCC
RNAcentral lists this ribosomal RNA (445 nucleotides) under uncultured bacterium. RNAcentral describes it as "partial 16S ribosomal RNA". It matches the Rfam family "Bacterial small subunit ribosomal RNA", at positions 354 to 796 of the family's 1533-position model. The record is from RNAcentral.